UGAGGAAUAUUGGUCAAUGGGCGGAAGCCUGAACCAGCCAAGUAGCGUGAAGGAUGACUGCCCUAUGGGUUGUAAACUUCUUUUUAUUGGGAACAAAGUUCUCUACGUGUAGAGUUUUGCGUGUACCCUUAGAAUAAGCAUCGGCUAACUCCGUGCCAGCAGCCGCGGUAAUACGGAGGAUGCGAGCGUUAUCCGGAUUUAUUGGGUUUAAAGGGAGCGUAGGUUGUUUAAUAAGCCAGCUGUGAAAUACUGUCGCUCAACGACAGCCGUGCAUUUGGAACUGUUAGACUUGAGUGUACAUGAGGGAAGUGGAAUUCGUGGUGUAGCGGUGAAAUAUUUAGAUAUCACGAAGAACUCCAAUUGCGAAGGCAUCUUCCUAGGGUACAACUGACACUGAGGCUCGAAAGUGUGGGUAUCGAACA
Molecule: ribosomal RNA, 422 nt
Filed under: uncultured Bacteroidales bacterium
Lineage: Bacteria; Pseudomonadati; Bacteroidota; Bacteroidia; Bacteroidales
Description: partial 16S ribosomal RNA
Rfam family: Bacterial small subunit ribosomal RNA
Source: RNAcentral